This 965-nucleotide ribosomal RNA is filed under the name uncultured bacterium. RNAcentral describes it as "bacterial SSU rRNA". It matches the Rfam family "Bacterial small subunit ribosomal RNA", at positions 55 to 1053 of the family's 1533-position model. The record is from RNAcentral.
AUGCAGUCGACGAGAAGUGGAGCAAUCCAUGAGUACAGUGGCGUACGGGUGAGUAACACGUGGGUAAUCUGCCUUUUAGUGAGGAAUAACCCUGGGAAACCGGGGCUAAUACCGCAUGAGCCCGAGAGGGGAAAGCAGAAAUGCGCUGAAAGAGGAGCCCGCGGCCGAUUAGCUAGUUGGUGAGGUAAGAGCCCACCAAGGCAGAGAUCGGUAGCCGGCCUGAGAGGGCACACGGCCACACUGGCACUGAAACACGGGCCAGACUCCUACGGGAGGCAGCAGUGGGGAAUCUUGCACAAUGGGGGAAACCCUGAUGCAGCGACGCCGCGUGAGCGAUGAAGCCCUUCGGGGUGUAAAGCUCUUUCGUCAGGGAAGAUAGUGACGGUACCUGGAGAAGCAGCUGCGGCUAACUACGUGCCAGCAGCCGCGGUAAUACGUAGGCAGCAAGCGUUGUUCGGAGUUACUGGGCGUAAAGGGUGUGUAGGCGGUUCUUUAAGUUUGGUGUGAAAUCUCCCGGCUUAACCGGGAGGGUGCGCCGAAUACUGAGGGACUAGAGUACGGGAGAGGAAAGUGGAAUUCCUGGUGUGGCGGUGAAAUGCGUAGAUAUCAGGAGGAACACCGGUGGUGUAGACGGCUUUCUGGACCGUAACUGACGCUGAGACACGAAAGCGUGGGUAGCAAACAGGAUUAGAUACCCUGGUAGUCCACGCCCUAAACGAUGCAUAUUUGGUGUGGGCAGUUCAUUCUGUCUGUGCCGGAGCUAACGCGUUAAAUAUGCCGCCUGGGGAGUACAGUCGCAAGGCUGAAACUCAAAGGAAUUGACGGGGGGCCCGCACAAGCGGUGGAGCAUGUGGUUCAUUUCGACGCAACGCGAAGAACCUUACCUGGGCUCGAACGGCUUCUCACCGUCGGUGAAAUACCGAUACCCGCAAGGGGGUGGGAGUCAAGAUGCUACAUGAGCUGUC